AUUGAACGCUGGCGGCAGGCCUAACACAUGCAAGUCGAGCGGAUGAAGGGAGCUUGCUCCUGGAUUCAGCGGCGUACGGGUGAGUAAUGCCUAGGAAUCUGCCUGGUAGUGGGGGAUAACGUCCGGAAACGGGCGCUAAUACCGCAUACGUCCUGAGGGAGAAAGUGGGGGAUCUUCGGACCUCACGCUAUCAGAUGAGCCUAGGUCGGAUUAGCUAGUUGGUGGGGUAAAGGCCUACCAAGGCGACGAUCCGUAACUGGUCUGAGAGGAUGAUCAGUCACACUGGAACUGAGACACGGUCCAGACUCCUACGGGAGGCAGCAGUGGGGAAUAUUGGACAAUGGGCGAAAGCCUGAUCCAGCCAUGCCGCGUGUGUGAAGAAGGUCUUCGGAUUGUAAAGCACUUUAAGUUGGGAGGAAGGGCAGUAAGUUAAUACCUUGCUGUUUUGACGUUACCAACAGAAUAAGCACCGGCUAACUUCGU
RNAcentral lists this ribosomal RNA (483 nucleotides) under uncultured bacterium. Its description in RNAcentral is "partial 16S ribosomal RNA". It matches the Rfam family "Bacterial small subunit ribosomal RNA", at positions 30 to 506 of the family's 1533-position model. The record is from RNAcentral.